AGCCUUGGGAUUUUUAUUAUAAUCUAAGGUCAAGCCUGCCCAAUGUAGUACGUACGAUGAAUGGCCGCAGUACUCUGACUGUGCGAAGGUAGCAUAAUCAGUUGGCUUUUAAAUGGAGUCUUGUAUGAAAGGAAUAACGUGGUGAAGCUGUCUCUACUUUGUUUUAUCAAACUUACUAAGAAGGUGAAAAUUCCUUCCAUAAGAAAAAAGACGAGAAGACCCUUAGAGUUUUUAUUAAAGUUUUCAAGUUAAAAACUAAAUUUUUGUUGGGGCGACAAGGAAACAACUAACUUUCCUCUGGAUGUUUUUACCAGCCGGCUUUUUCAAGCAAGGACAAACUACCUGAGGGAUAACAGCAUAAUUCUUUUUUGAGUUUGUGACCUCGAUGUUGGACUAGGAACUUAACAGACUAGCCGUCUGUAUUUGUGGUUCUGUUCGAACCCUCUCUCCU
RNAcentral lists this ribosomal RNA (451 nucleotides) under Siphonaria sp. UF 368014. RNAcentral describes it as "partial 16S ribosomal RNA". It matches the Rfam family "Bacterial large subunit ribosomal RNA", at positions 1816 to 2596 of the family's 2925-position model. The record is from RNAcentral. Lineage: Eukaryota; Metazoa; Mollusca; Gastropoda; Siphonariida; Siphonariidae.